UUCCACUCAACCGUCAUCCUCCCUACUCUGUGCAUAACGGGCGGGGCCCAGCCUCGCCGUCUCAUUGGCUCUUCCGGAUGUCCAUCAAAGCUCGAGUUUGGGCCCGCAGUCUGGCCAACCGCGGAGACGGUAGAGGGCGGGCCUUAAAAGUUUGGCGCUCGACUUGGAGCUUCCUGGAAAGGGGGUGGGGUGAAGGGAAGGGAAAAAGAAGGAGGACUGAGAUGAGAAAGGGGGUUUCUGAAAAAAGAGUAAGACUUGAAGAAGAAACCAACAUGUAGAGGAGUUGACAUCUCCAUUAUGUCACUAUCCUUAGUUUACUACACUAAAGACUGGAGAAUUUCCCCUUGGAUUUGUUCUUCGAUUACCAACUGGAUUUUUUCCUGAAAGAGCCAGCUUAAUUCUCAUCUACCUCAACAAGGUAUCAUCCAGGAUUUCAGAAAUUCAGGUUUUCAGGGGGGAAAUGGUGUGGAAUGGGCGGGACAUCUAACUAAUACAGAAGAAAUCUGCUCUAGGUAAAGAUAAAGAUGCAGAUGAAAAGGAAUGGAAGAUAACAGGGACAAUCUCAGGAAGAAAGAAUGCAGGGGAUGCUACCAGAAGAAAGGUAGCUCCCAGAGAAGAUGAAGGGGAACUAAAGGCAGAAGGGAAGCUUAAGGAGAAUGACCUUGACUUGUCUCAGCCCCAUUUAUUCCCCUCUUUUAAAUGUUACCCCAUAGAAGAUGUCAAGAGACAUGUUAACAACCAAGUGUCCUUGUACUAAUUAUACCUAAUGUUUCAAUGAUAACACUAGGCUUGGAGCAGAUAAACAAGAUCUUAGAGUCAUUUGAGAAAUAAAUGCUGUGUGCACGAAUGUUUGUGGCAGCCCUUUUUGUAGUGGCUAAAAACUGGAAACUGAAUGGAUGUCCAUCAG
Molecule: long non-coding RNA, 907 nt
Organism: Sarcophilus harrisii (Tasmanian devil)
Lineage: Eukaryota; Metazoa; Chordata; Mammalia; Dasyuromorphia; Dasyuridae
Exons: 3
Source: RefSeq, a predicted model, not a curated record